UUUACAAGUGUUAAAGCAAAAGUGCAAAACCCAAACACACUCUUCUCUCACUCUCACAGCAAACCCAUCACUUGAGACCCUAGCACAACCUUUAAAACACCGUCGAUUUUGAUAACCCAAACCUUUAGUUAUCAAAAUCGGCGAACCCUCACUGAGAACCAUACGGAGAACCCUCCAAAUGCGUGCUGCCACACUCAAAUUUCGGAACCUAAGCUAAGAGCACACCACUGAUUGAGCAUAUUAGAACCUGAUUGUUCGAUUGUUACAGGUAAUUAUUGUUUGAACCCUAGAAAAUAAGUUAAAAAUCCUAGAGUUGUAGUUCUCAAAUUCAUUCACUGUGAUGUAAAGGUUUUUUUUUUUUUUCAUUUUCAUUGGUUGAAUUUACUAAUUUGUUGAAAUUAGCGAACCUUAGAACUACAAAAUGACAUAUACUUUGUUCUUGGGUGUGGCAAAUCACAUGUUUAUAGUCGUAUGUUCAUUAUCUUCGAAUUAGGGAUAUAGUUAGUAUUUUUGUAUUCCCUUCAAGUGUUUGAUAAAAAGCCUGAAUCAAUUUUGCUCGGCUGAAAAAAAAUUGAAAGGGAGCUAUUUUAAGAUCAUUUUCCCUACCAUUUUUAGCGUACUUUGCAGUAGAUAGGCUGGGUUAUGGUCCUUUACAGGUCCAGAGUGAAAGGUUGCUUCAUGUGAAUGAAUGCCAUGUUUGCUUUGUGAUAGGAAGCACACACCACUC
This 727-nucleotide long non-coding RNA is filed under the name Citrus maxima (pomelo). RNAcentral's name for it is "long non-coding RNA (CMAX_LNC000903)". Lineage: Eukaryota; Viridiplantae; Streptophyta; Magnoliopsida; Sapindales; Rutaceae. The record is from RNAcentral.